This 732-nucleotide ribosomal RNA is filed under the name Tilletia ehrhartae. Its description in RNAcentral is "eukaryotic LSU rRNA". The stretch from base 273 to 426 matches the Rfam family "5.8S ribosomal RNA". Lineage: Eukaryota; Fungi; Basidiomycota; Exobasidiomycetes; Tilletiales; Tilletiaceae. The record is from RNAcentral.
CUUGGUCAUUUAGAGGAAGUAAAAGUCAUAACAAGGUUUCUGUAGGUGAACCUGCAGAAGGAUCAUUAGUGAAUCUACCCAUCUCUUUCGAGAGACUGGGCUUUCUUCUAUUAUCCAACACAGACUACGGAGAGUCGCAUUCUUAUGCUUCUUGUCCGGAUUGGAAACAGAGUCAUUGGUUCUUCGGAGCUGAUGGCUUUGGUUCCUAACUUUUUAAACUCUUAAUAAUUCAAGAAUGUUAAAACUAUUGUCUUCGGACAUGAAUAAUAUACAACUUUUGACAACGGAUCUCUUGGUUCUCCCAUCGAUGAAGAACGCAGCGAAAUGCGAUAAGUAAUGUGAAUUGCAGAAUUCAGUGAAUCAUCGAAUCUUUGAACGCACCUUGCGCCCUUGGGUAUUCUCAAGGGCAUGCCUGUUUGAGUGUCAUAACAAUCUCAACUCCCUUCAUUUUGUAUUUUGCGAGAUGAUGCUUGGAGCUGGUGAUGGGCGCUUGCCAGACUUCAUGUCUUGCUCGCCUGAAAUUGAUCAGUGGAUCUCCUAGAGUUCGGUCUGACUAUGUGUGAUAAUUUGAUCGCAUAGGAUGUGCUUGCACAACCGGGUCCUGUAAAGGAGUUUGUCUGCUUCUAACACGGAAUGGCUAGAAAGUAACUUUCUACCAUCGUCAGCUAUAUUGACUGACCUCAAAUCAGGUAGGACUACCCGCUGAACUUAAGCAUAUCAAUAAGCGGAGGA